CCGGCGAAGUCGAACCGUGACUUGUGUCGUCCGGCCAAUAAAAUUGCAAAGAGUGCCCGUGAAUCACCACAAAAUGAGCGCGGCUGCAGAAAACACAAAAUUUACUCGCUAGCAAGCCACUCACCAAUCCACCAGGCCGCAUCUCUCCUUGCUCGCGUCGUCUCCCCUCCCUAGCUAUCGGCUGAUCCCCCUUUGCGCCGCCACCUUCACAGCUCGAUUCCGGACAGCUCCGGCAAGGCCUCAAGCCGCUGAUCUACGCCCCAACACCAGAUCAUCCUCCUCCAUAGGCUCCACAUCGUAAAGCCUUCAAUCUGCAAACCCCCGACGAACCCUUGACGCCCCAACACACCAAAUCCUACCCAGCUCCCGGUCGAUACCCUCUGCACCACCGCCAUGUUUUGACGUGCGCGUGGAGUUCUCCGUCGGCUGCUCAGCUCGGCUCCCUCUGCAUCCAUCCCCGCAACUCCAUCCGCCAAUAGCGUCCGGGACGACGCCUCGGAUGUCCAUCACGGCCGUCGUCGGCAGCCCGGCCGGCUCCCCUCUCCAGAGGUGCAUGCUCAACAGCUCAAGAAACCAUGGAACCUCAGGUUAGGAAAGAUGUCGCUCACUGCUUAGAUGCAGCGCUAGUGGUUAUGGUGAUGUCUCCGUGCCCAGUAGCCAUGGAUGUCGCUGUCCUGCUGCUCAGCCAUGGAAAACCUGAGCAUCUCCAUAAAGUACGGCGUCAAGAGACCAGCCAUGGUCAUGGAUUUGGAUGUCAACUACCCGCCUCAAGCACAAAUGCUUCGCCAAGAACAAAUCUUAUGCCGCCAGGUCAAUAGUUUUGUUCACAUCACAACAGAAGAUUCUCAUCAUUGAGAUGAGCAUCCUGAAAACCAAAUUCAUCAUGGUGUUUCAGUAUACGAAGGGCAUAGCUUACGACUCCAUCAUCGGCAGCUACCACACUCCUGAUGACGCCGGAGAAGACUCUGCCAACGUCCUACUGGUCGGCCUUUGACGACCUCAGGCACGGAGGUGACCAGGAUGGAUAUGCUCACCCGCAUCACCAUCAAAUACGAAGUUGAGGUUGGGCUUUCGACUAGAUCGAGCAUGCUUGCGGAUUUUGUUGGCUUGGUAAGAAUUCAACAUGUAAUGAUUUUUUUGGUAACUUUCCUCUACUAAUAAUGUUGGCAUUAAUAUCCUAAAUGGUGGAAAGUAAAGAUCAUAGUUACCGAAUUUUAUGCUUAUAUGUGGUGAUCCAAUUUACAUGUACUAGAGUUCGUUUUUUCUGUGCGUAAUUACUGUACCAACUUGUUGUGUUGACUGCUUCAUAUUUGUAAAAAGGAGCACAAAAGCUGAGUUAUUAAUUACUAGUAUUAAUUUUUUUGUCUCGUGUACCAAUGUUUGCGCAUGAUAGACUUAUGUUAUUCACCAAUGUGUAUCAUCAUGUGAAAUGUUAAGUAUUUGUGAUUGAAGCAAGCAAGCAGUGUUAAGCUAGUUUUCUACUAGUUGACACUUGGCAGUAUGUUCCAUUCUUUGCUCUCAUUUCGUGCACUCCCAAGUCUACAAGCAUGCAAGGUCCUUUAUGCUUUCAUUCUUAAUAGUUAAACGACAAUACAGAGUAAUAGAUAAUAGAAAAUAUAAACAUUCCCUACUUGGAAGUCUUACUACCAAAAAUCAUCUUUUUACAGUUGCACUUCAUAAAAUUUAGUACCAGAAACUGCUUUCUAUAUAGGUGAUUCACAACUUCAAAAUCAGUUGUUUUGGUCCGUAUUAUAAGUUUUGAUUGCUGCUGUGAUACAUGAGAAGAAAAAAAAAGAGCUCAUAUGUGAAUUAUGCUAUAUAGAGUAGCUAUUGGAUUGGGUAAUAGGACAUGGUUGCUACUUUCAGUCCUUGAUAGCGCGGACUUUAUCCAUGUAAAGAACAUUUAGAAAUUUAUAACUCGAUCUUAGCAUUUGGGCAUUUAGUUUGUUAUUGCCUUCACAAUGGUAUUAUCUUGAUUUUUUACUCUGGUAUUGAACAUGCAUAUCUUUUACUUUUAUGCCUUGCCAAAAAAUGGCAUGUGCAUAAAUUAUGUAUCUGUGGCAGGUCACCAAAUGGGUCUCGCACCAUUUGUCCAAUGAGUUCUGCAGAGGAAGAUACGGCUCACUGUUGUUGUUACUGUAGAGGAUGUCUCCCUUGUUGCUGAUGCAGCUGUCAUGUCCCACGGCUCGACCGUUGAUGACCAAUGCUUCAUUGAGUUAGAGGAUUGUAGGAACCCGCACGCCGGCAUCACCAUCAAGCAUGUUGUCUAGCCUAGCUUCUUGUUCAAGUUGGUAGUCACAUGCAACACUGGUGCAAUUAGCUGUUUGCCAUGGCGCUGCCUCAUGUUGUCCUGCAUGACCGAGCUGCAUGUGUUGUGCAUGUGAUGCUGUGAAACUCCUGUCAGAUCUAGGCCAUACUGGAACAUGGUUUUUCUCCAACACGAUUCCCAAUCCAUCAUGAAAAAUGUCACGAGUAGUGUGGCUGGAAUCAAGAAGGCUACAGUCACCACCAUGAAGAUGCUAAUAGAUACUCUGGGAAUUUUUCUCUUGCUUGUCCUACGCCAUUUAUAAACUCUGCAUGGAGAUGAUUAAGAUGACAUGAAUGUACCAGAUAUGCAUGUUUGCUGCUGGCCAUGCUUCACGAUCUGGACCCUGCAUGUUCAGAGAGCAAGGCUUACUUAGAAGUAGCGAAGAAUGAUCCUAAUUUUUCAUAGUCUCUCAUACAUGAACUUGAGCAACUCUACAAUAUUUAUAUUUGUUGGUUGGAUGAGCGUCCCAUUUUGGUGAUGAAGAAGCCAUGGGCUGGCUGGAGUCCAUGUGUUACUACUAGUAGGUUUUGUGCCAAUUCACACUAAAUGUAUUUUUCACGAUUUUGAGGCAGCACGUGUAGAGAACAAGUUGUGUGUAUAAGAUUGGAAAUCGGUGGAUUUAUCUCUAAUUACUUGUUGGCAGUUGCCAUCAGUUUGCUCCAUCAAGUUAAUUU
Molecule: non-coding RNA, 2982 nt
Organism: Lolium perenne
Lineage: Eukaryota; Viridiplantae; Streptophyta; Magnoliopsida; Poales; Poaceae
Source: RefSeq, a predicted model, not a curated record